GGAUCAUAAGGUCAGGAGUUCAAGACCAGUGUAGGGAGACCCCCUAAAACUAUUGCUAUGGAAUAAAGAUGAAAUGCUCCUAAUUAUUGUAAAUACAAAAUUGCAUGCAGAAUUGUGUAAAGACAAUGCCAGGUUGGGCUGCCAGAAUGAGCCAACAGCGCAUGAUGUGCUUCCCCCUGCAGAAAGCCUAUAAACGGACAUGCAGUCAGGGAGGUUUCAUAUCUCCCAGAUUCCUAUCCCAGAAAAGCAGAUGUUCAUAGCUCUGGGAGUGGAAUGCGACCCUUGUGGAGAGCCUAUAAACGGACGCAUGAAGGGCACCUGUUCAUAUGGAUAAGAUGAAAAUUCCCGAGAAAGCAGAAGAGGCCCCCAGAUGGGCGGAUUCCCAAUCCCGGACCCCUGCGGCAGGUCGAG
This 411-nucleotide long non-coding RNA is filed under the name Homo sapiens (human). RNAcentral describes it as "HSALNT0388297". The record is from RNAcentral. Lineage: Eukaryota; Metazoa; Chordata; Mammalia; Primates; Hominidae.